UACGUAGGGUGCAAGCGUUAAUCGGAAUGACUGGGCGUAAAGCGUGCGUAGGUGGUGUUGUAAGACAGGCGUGAAAUGCCCGGGCUUAACCUGGGGAUGGCGUUUGUGACUGCAAUGCUAGAGUGAGUCAGAGGGGGGUAGAAUUCCACAUGUAGCAGUGAAAUGCGUAGAGAUGUGGAGGAAUACCGAUGGCGAAGGCAGCCCCCUGGGGCGUGACUGACACUGAAGUACGAAAGCGUGGGGAGCAAACAGG
This 253-nucleotide ribosomal RNA is filed under the name uncultured bacterium. Its description in RNAcentral is "partial 16S ribosomal RNA". It matches the Rfam family "Bacterial small subunit ribosomal RNA", at positions 524 to 776 of the family's 1533-position model. The record is from RNAcentral.